RNAcentral lists this ribosomal RNA (500 nucleotides) under uncultured bacterium. Its description in RNAcentral is "partial 16S ribosomal RNA". It matches the Rfam family "Bacterial small subunit ribosomal RNA", at positions 30 to 523 of the family's 1533-position model. The record is from RNAcentral.
AUUGAACGCCGGCGGAAUGCUUUACACAUGCAAGUCGAACGGCAGCACGGACUUCGGUCUGGUGGCGAGUGGCGAACGGGUGAGUAAUGUAUCGGAACGUGCCCAGUCGUGGGGAAUAACGUAGUGAAAAUUACGCUAAUACCGCAUACGAACUAUGGAUGAAAGCGGGGGAUCGCAAGACCUCGCGCGAUUGGAGCGGCCGAUAGCAGAUUAGGUAGUUGGUGGGGUAAAGGCCCACCAAGCCAACGAUCUGUAGCUGGUCUGAGAGGACGACCAGCCACACUGGAACUGAGACACGGUCCAGACUCCUACGGGAGGCAGCAGUGGGGAAUUUUGGACAAUGGGCGAAAGCCUGAUCCAGCCAUUCCGCGUGCAGGAUGAAGGCCCUCGGGUUGUAAACUGCUUUUGUACAGAACGAAAAGGUUUCUACUAAUACUAGGAGCUCAUGACGGUACUGUAAGAAUAAGCACCGGCUAACUACGUGCCAGCCGCCGCGGUAA